GUGGCCCCGGAGCCGACGGCUACUUCCACCAUUGCGAACUCGUCCAAGUUGCUUCGGCGGCGCGGCUCCCCCUAACGGGGGCGCCGCAGCCCUGCCUCUCCGGAGGUUCGGGGCGCCCGCCGGAGGUACGAAACUCUGUAUUAUAGUGGCAUCUCUGAGUAAAAAGCAAAUAAGUUAAAACUUUCAACAACGGAUCUCUUGGUUCUGGCAUCGAUGAAGAACGCAGCGAAAUGCGAUAAGUAAUGUGAAUUGCAGAAUUCAGUGAAUCAUCGAAUCUUUGAACGCACAUUGCGCCCGGUAGUACUCUACCGGGCAUGCCUGUUCGAGCGUCAUUUCAACCCUCAAGCCCUGCUUGGUGUUGGGGCCCUACGGCUGCCGUAGGCCCUGAAAGGAAGUGGCGGGCUCGCUACAACUCCGAGCGUAGUAAUUCAUUAUCUCGCUAGGGAGGUUGCGGCGUGCUCCUGCCGUUAAAGACCCAUCUUUAACCAAGGUUGACCUCGGAUCAGGUAGGAAUACCCGCUGAACUUAAGCAUAUCAAUAAGCGGAGGAA
This 550-nucleotide ribosomal RNA is filed under the name fungal sp. TZ-2013. RNAcentral's name for it is "eukaryotic LSU rRNA". The stretch from base 179 to 332 matches the Rfam family "5.8S ribosomal RNA". Lineage: Eukaryota; Fungi. The record is from RNAcentral.